Non-coding RNA from Camellia sinensis, 856 nucleotides. NCBI's taxonomy places the organism in Eukaryota, Viridiplantae, Streptophyta, Magnoliopsida, Ericales, Theaceae. The record is from RefSeq and is a predicted model, not a curated record.
UUGAGACAACCCUAACCCUCAUGAGAGAGGCAGACUUGAAGGGCUCCUCCGACGCAGAGGAGGGUGGGCGACGGCGACUCCAGAGGCGACAGCAGCUGCAACUAGGCGAGAUGAGGCGGCGGUGAGGUCUCCUCUUCCAUCUUCAUUUUCAUGUGGUGCUUAAAUAUGUUUGAUUUCUAGGAGUUUGCUCCCCUCUUUUCCUUUCUCUCUCAUCAGUUUCAAAGCCCUAAUCAGUUUCAAAGAACAGAGGAAUGGUCUGAACUGAACCCCCUCCAUUGAUUCUUUGUCUUCCCUUUCCAUCCGAUCUUCUAUGGCGUCAAUGUCUAGAUUUGUUGCCAAAGAUUGUAGAUUGCAGCCUCACCAUGCUCUUUACAAGCAAAACUAUUUGCUUACCUAUAAGGAAGAUUGAAUCCACAAAAAUAGUGGAAAAGAUGAGUGAUUGGAGUAAGGGUUGAAGCCCAACAAAGUGUACUAUUAUCAAUGUGGAGAUCAUUCUAUACCAGCAAUGAGUAAUGUGUCCUACAAAUGCAACACAAAGAAGUGAUGGAAUUAUAAGAGAGAGUUGUGCUAUUGCAAAGUGAAGUUAUAAGAUAUGGAGAGUGUUAGUGAACAACUUUGAUUUUUGACCGCGAAGACGCAAUAAGCAAUAAACUUUUGAUUGUAUAAUUGGUGUUACUUGUAAUUGCUAUUAUUUUAAUUAUGAAGAAGUAACUAUGUUUCAAUGUUGUAAUUGACUAGUUUGAUUUUUGAAAUGGUUGGGAAUGUAGAACUUCUGAAAAUUGUGAAAUUUGAAAUGUUGUUGCUAUUAUUGAAAUAGUUGGGAAUUUAGAAGUUUUGAAAAUUGUUGAUUUUGAAA